AACGAACGCUGGCGGCAUGCCUAACACAUGCAAGUCGAACGAGACCUUCGGGUCUAGUGGCGCACGGGUGCGUAACGCGUGGGAAUCUACCCUCAGGUUCGGAAUAACUCAGAGAAAUUUGAGCUAAUACCGGUUGAUGACGUAAGUCCAAAGAUUUAUCGCCUGAGGAUGAGCCCGCGUAGGUUUAGGUAGUUGGUGAGGUAAAGGCUCACCAAGCCGACGAUCCUUAGCUGGUCUGAGAGGAUGAUCAGCCACACUGGGACUGAGACACGGCCCAGACUCCUACGGGAGGCAGCAGUGGGGAAUAUUGGACAAUGGGCGAAAGCCUGAUCCAGCAAUGCCGCGUGAGUGAUGAAGGCCUUAGGGUUGUAAAGCUCUUUUACCCGGGAUGAUAAUGACAGUACCGGGAGAAUAAGCUCCGGCUAACUCCGUG
RNAcentral lists this ribosomal RNA (433 nucleotides) under uncultured bacterium. RNAcentral's name for it is "partial 16S ribosomal RNA". It matches the Rfam family "Bacterial small subunit ribosomal RNA", at positions 29 to 507 of the family's 1533-position model. The record is from RNAcentral.